This is a microRNA precursor of Cavia porcellus (domestic guinea pig), 112 nucleotides long. It matches the Rfam family "mir-448 microRNA precursor family". The record is from Rfam. NCBI's taxonomy places the organism in Eukaryota, Metazoa, Chordata, Mammalia, Rodentia, Caviidae.
GUGAGGAGGUUGAACAUCCUGCAUGGUGCUGCCACGAAAUCCCUUUGUCAUACUAAGAGGGGACUGGCUGGUUGCACAUGUAGGAUGUCCCAUCUCCUGGCCCACUUCAUCA